This 800-nucleotide non-coding RNA is filed under the name Pan troglodytes (chimpanzee). The record is from RNAcentral. Lineage: Eukaryota; Metazoa; Chordata; Mammalia; Primates; Hominidae.
GCAAAGACAGAGAAUUCACGUGCUGCCCAGGCAUAGCCACAUAGCAGGUGGACAUCCCUGGACACUUUUCUGACAAAGCACGCAAUGUGGGGACAACACAGAAAUCCAAGAAAGGCAAGACCAAUUUCAAGGCACUAAAUAAGUGGACUGAGACAAGAAGUACACAGAUACUUCCCAGAACAAAACCCUCACUGGAUUUUCCUGGAAGUACGGAGAGUUACAUCCAGAGAACUCUGAACAUUUUGGAAGGACCCCAAUCCUGCAAACAAUGAAUGGCAAUAAAUCCUGGGACUGGAAAGGGGCUUCUCAACCCCAAGGCAACCAUAAAGUCCUAUACAAAGAAAGAUACAGCAGUGUGAAAGAGGCCUGGAUGAAAAAACAAAGACAGAGCCAGUGAGCCAGAGCCAGAGCCAGAGGACAAGAGAGAAAGGCAGAGAAUGGAAAACACAGACAGAGAAGGCAGAUGCAUAGAGAGACAGAGAUUCAAUGAGAAAAUAAGGAAGGAAGAAAGAAAACAAAAACAUUCUCAGCACUACAACUUCUGCCUUGUUCUGUUCCAGAACAGUAUGAGCUCAGUACUUUUUCAGACUCUCAAUUUUCUACAACUAAUAAUUUGCUCUUUCAGUUAGUGGCAAAGGCUUAACGACAAAGGUUCAUCUUUAAUAUUAAAGAGGCACUUUUAAAAUUUAUGAUGCUAAGCCUUUUGUUCUGGAUAUGGUAUGUUGCACAGGUCUAGGGACUGGGAUUUCAGAUGUCUAUUCCGUACCCUUAUUCUUUUAUUUAUUAAAUCUUUUAGGGUG